Non-coding RNA from Ornithorhynchus anatinus (platypus), 117 nucleotides. The record is from RefSeq and is marked provisional. NCBI's taxonomy places the organism in Eukaryota, Metazoa, Chordata, Mammalia, Monotremata, Ornithorhynchidae.
UCCCGAGCGUCUGGUACGGCGCUCUGCCCGCGGGAGGCGCCCGUCUGACACCGGUUUCUUCUCAGCGGCGCGGGCUGAGCGCCUAACGUGGGCCGAGCGCCGCACCCAACGCCGGGG